This 404-nucleotide unclassified non-coding RNA is filed under the name soil metagenome. Its description in RNAcentral is "partial contains 5.8S ribosomal RNA, internal transcribed spacer 2, and large subunit ribosomal RNA". The stretch from base 1 to 122 matches the Rfam family "5.8S ribosomal RNA", at positions 35 to 154 of the family's 154-position model. The record is from RNAcentral.
GAUGAAGAACGCAGCAAAAUGCGAUACUUGGUGUGAAUUGCAGAAUCCCGUGAACCAUCGAGUUUUUGAACGCAAGUUGCGCCCGAAGCCUUUUGGCCGAGGGCACGUCUGCCUGGGCGUCACGCAUCGCGUCGCCCCCCCCAAUUCUCCGUAAAGGGAACAUGUGUUUUGGGGGCGGAUAUUGGUCUCCCGUGCUCAUGGCGUGGUUGGCCGAAAUAGGAGUCCUUUCGAUGGACGCACGAACUAGUGGUGGUCGUAAAAACCCUCGUCUUUUGUUUCGUGCUGUUGCUCGCAAGGUAAACUCUUUAAAAACCCCAAUGUGUCGUCUCUUGACGACGCUUCGACCGCGACCCCAGGUCAGGCGGGACUACCCGCUGAGUUUAAGCAUAUCAAUAAGCGGAGGA